Molecule: transfer RNA, 83 nt
Filed under: Felis catus (domestic cat)
Lineage: Eukaryota; Metazoa; Chordata; Mammalia; Carnivora; Felidae
Also listed under: 3 other names
Rfam family: tRNA
About the family: Transfer RNA (tRNA) molecules are approximately 80 nucleotides in length.
Source: Rfam by way of RNAcentral
GCUCAGUAGGUUGAGUGUCCAACUCUUGAUCUUGGUUCAGGUCAUGAUCUCAUGGUUCGUGGGUUCAAGCCCCACAUUGGGCU